UUCUGUUGAUCCUUUUCUGUGCCUUUCACUUCCGAACUACAGUUCCAUUUCAUUAGAAUUGUUUUCUUUGUUGUAUCUCUAGACUCUCUGCGUAAGAUUCCCAAUGGGAACUACCCCAACUUGACCCAAUUUGGCAUGCAUUGUGUAUUUUGAGAUUUCAAGGUAACUGCUGCUAAUGGAAGAAAACUAAAGCGUAUUGCAUGCUCUUUUAAGGUAGAAUGACCUUAUCAUCUUCCAACAAACUCAAGAAAUGCAUGCUCUGAUGAGUUGAAUUUUAAGAUUUCGAGAAGGAAUGAAAGCUGUAGAAGAAAACAUAGGGCUGAGAUCUCUCCAAGGCGAUUGUGGGGAGGUUUGCCAAUUGACCUUAGUGAAGUCAAAAAACAAAUAUAGUUCAUUUGUGUUUGGAGGGGCGGCCUUCAUCUGAUCUGACCGCAUGGAAAAGCUCUCUUUGUGUUGAUGAAGAAUUCUUCAUCUCAAACAAGAUAAACUAAUGUUAAACCCUGGGGGGCACAUCUUCGUUUGGUUUUCUUGCAAGAAAACGUUAUCGGAUGAUGAUGAUGCUGUUGAAAGUUACUUUCUAUGUAAUGCCAUAUGCAGCCAGUUUGUUGGCCUUUGUCUAUGAAUCCUUCAAAGACAGCCU
Non-coding RNA from Prunus avium (sweet cherry), 640 nucleotides. Lineage: Eukaryota; Viridiplantae; Streptophyta; Magnoliopsida; Rosales; Rosaceae. The record is from RefSeq and is a predicted model, not a curated record.